RNA transcript from Lycium ferocissimum, 859 nucleotides. RefSeq lists it as uncharacterized. The record is from RefSeq and is a predicted model, not a curated record. NCBI's taxonomy places the organism in Eukaryota, Viridiplantae, Streptophyta, Magnoliopsida, Solanales, Solanaceae. The transcript is spliced from 4 exons.
GGCUCAUGAAAGCAAGAAAACUGGAAAGCUUAGCAGAAGUGGUGCUGUUAUGACUUGUAGCCUUUGUCAUAACAAAGGCCACAACAAAAGAGGAUGUCCAACAAAAGAUGAUGUCCAACAAACAGCAAGUCAAUCAAAGGCUAGAACAAAUAGGGGGAAGGCAAACAAGAGAAGAAUGGAACAAGAAGCUGAAAGUUGUGGAAGAGCAAAUAUAAGAAGGAUGGAAAAAAACCGAGACAGCCUAGUUUCCGCUACAAACAACUAGUCAAUCACAGGCUAGAUCAAAUAGGGGGAAGACAAACAAGGAGAGGAUGGAAAAUGAAACUGAAAGUAGUGAAAGGGGUGGUGGAAGAGGCAUUGGAAGAGGGAUGCAAUAGCAAAAUCAAGAGACUGAAGGCACAAGUAGUGGACAUGCAAAAAGACCUUAUAAAAGGCCAAGGAUGGUGGGGGUUGGAGUAUUGGUUGAUGAUGAUGGUUGUACUACUCUUAAUCCUAGGAUGCCAAACAGAAGGGUCAAUGACAUUGGUAGAAGAGCUCCUAUGAGAUCUGAUGUGGUUACUGGAGAUAUUGGUUACACACCACGCAAAGGAUUCAGAUGGAGGGGCAAACAAACUAUUACCAGUAAUCGACUUGACCAAAUGAGGGGUGAGAAAAUAAUCCAAACAAGGUCUAAAGUUGCUGCUAACAAUCAGAAGUCCAAAGUUGCUGCUAACAUGCAGAGUCAAUGCAGUACAUCUAGAAAGCCCUCUGUGCCAUGGAAAUAGUUGGUUUGCAGUUGGAUUUUUGGUGUUGCUGCUGCUGCUGUUAUUUUGGCUUGGAGAUGUCAUUUGGCUAAUGGUUUUUUUUUUUUUUGGUUUUG